UUUACCUUCUCCUUUACUUUGCAAGUAAAUAAGGGAUUCAAUAAGAGUUGGCAAUUUUCUCACCCACAGCCUCCGAGCAGCUCUCUAUUUUUGAUGAUGAGUAGUAAUUCCAACGUUUCUCCUCAAAAAAAGCCCCGGCACGCACACAAACCCUCCCACCCUUCCACACUUUAUAUUUUCCUAAUGGAAAGGGUUUACUUUAGUAAGAAAUUGCCCUUCAUUUAUGAAAAAAACCCAUUUGAUUACUUGAAAAAAGAAAAUCCCUGCUGAGCCACAGUGAUUUUGUGCUGCUGAAAUAAUCCAUGUUUUUGGGGGUCUUUUUUGAUAUAAAAUAUAAAAUUCAGAUGGCAUCAAUAGGUUGGGAAGCUGUGGAAUAUCCAUCCCAUUGGCUUCUGCCAUCCUGACUGGGAAUAUCAGAUGGAAUUUCCUGCAGAGGUGGCUCAGGGUGACAAUUUGGAGUGAGGGAAGGUGAGGAUUUGGGGGAGAAGGGAACCCAGCCCCGGGGAUUGUCCCCAGGAGAGGUUUGGGAAGUGCAGGUGGUAUUCCCAUGGGAUCAAAACCAUUUGGAAAAUCUGAUUCCCAGCAGGUUUGGGAGCAGGACACCACCAUGGUGCACCAGCAAUGGAUGUGGAUGGUGCUGGGCAUCCCAUCCCUGAGUGGAGGAUUUACCCUCAGCAGCAGCACAUUUUGUAGAGAACUCCAGGGAAAUCAUGGAAAUUCCACUGGCUCCAUGGGGGAGAGGUGGGAGGGAAGGGCUGGGAGCUGGGAGUGGUGUUCCCAGCCAAACCUUGCUUUAAACAGCACCUGCCAAAGCCAGCCUGGGCUCCAGCUUCCAGCAGCAACAUUUCUGCAUUGGAGGCAACGCUGAGGACCAGAGCCCAUCCAUGGCCAUGGAGAGCCACAAAUUCCAGCAGCUUGGGGCUGGAAGGGACACUAAGGAUCAGCUCAGGGACACCUUCUGCUAUCCCAGAUUGUCCAACGUGACCUUGACCAUUCCAGGGAUGAGUUUUCCUGGAGUUCCCUGCACUCUCAGACCCCAGGUGCAAUAUUUGGGGACCACUUCUCAUCUGGCCCAGACAAAAAAUGACUCUCCUUGAAUCCAGGGGUGUUGGCAAUGAGCAAGUGAAGGUUGGAGGCAGCCUGGGCCAUGCAGAGGUGGCUCCGUGCCAAACUCAUGGAAAGCUCCUGGGAAGGAGCCUCUCCUCCCCUGAAUUAGCUCCCUGCAGCUUCAAAAAAAGGCCCUGAAUAAUGUAGACAGGAAAAUGAGCACAGGACAAUCUGUCUGCCACCCAGCUUAUCCAAAUAUUGCUAUUUUUGGGCUCUGUUUGAGUUUCUCUGCUCCUCAGAGGCACAUCCCAAGAUCCUGGUGCUUUUGAUCUGGGACACACUGAAUAAUUCCCUUUAAACAAUAAUAAAAGAGGAUUUUUUUUUCCCACACUGCCUCCAUAGCAACCACUGAUGUCAUAAAUGUGGGGACAUGACUUCAUGGCAGCACCUGAGCUCAGGAGGAACCUCUGCUCCAGAGCAAAUAUCCUGCAGGAGAGAGGGAAAUGUGGAAAACUGAGGGAACAGCAGAGCACUGCUUUCCAUAAAUUCCUUUUCCCUCUGCUGAGGGUGAAAAUCCCUUCCCAAGGCAUCCAGCACUGAGUGGGAAUCCAGGGGCUGGAGCUCAACCUGUGCUCCCCAGAAGAGGGGAAAAGCUGUCAUGUUAUAUCAGGAGCCUGUGAGAGCAAAGGAGAAAUCAUCUGGGGGGAAUUCAAGCCAUCUGAGGAAAUCCAAGCCACCACUGAUGGAAAAUCUCUGCGGGAAGAGCUCCCUGCUCAUCCCUGGGAUUGCUCUGGGAUGGCUGAGCCGAGCUCCUGGGAGGCGUCCUGGACAAAAAUAAAAUGUACUGAGGCAUUUCCAA
Passer domesticus (house sparrow) is the source of this 1906-nucleotide long non-coding RNA. RefSeq lists it as uncharacterized. Lineage: Eukaryota; Metazoa; Chordata; Aves; Passeriformes; Passeridae. The transcript is spliced from 2 exons. The record is from RefSeq and is a predicted model, not a curated record.